CCUACGGGUGGCAGCAGUGGGGAAUAUUGGACAAUGGGCGAAAGCCUGAUCCAGCCAUGCCGCGUGUGUGAAGAAGGCCUUCGGGUUGUAAAGCACUUUCAGUGGGGAAGAAAGCCUUGGGGCUAAUACCCUCGAGGAAGGACAUCACCCACAGAAGAAGCACCGGCUAACUCCGUCCAGCAGCCGCGGUAAUACGGAGGGUGCGAGCGUUAAUCGGAAUUACUGGGCGUAAAGCGCGCGUAGGCGGUCUGAUAAGCCGGUUGUGAAAGCCCCGGGCUCAACCUGGGAACGGCAUCCGGAACUGUCAGGCUAGAGUGCAGGAGAGGAAGGUAGAAUUCCCGGUGUAGCGGUGAAAUGCGUAGAGAUCGGGAGGAAUACCAGUGGCGAAGGCGGCCUUCUGGACUGACACUGACGCUGAGGUGCGAAAGCGUGGGUAGCAAACAGGAUUAGAUACCCUAGUAGUC
This 464-nucleotide ribosomal RNA is filed under the name Vreelandella stevensii. Its description in RNAcentral is "partial 16S ribosomal RNA". It matches the Rfam family "Bacterial small subunit ribosomal RNA", at positions 338 to 795 of the family's 1533-position model. The record is from RNAcentral. Lineage: Bacteria; Pseudomonadati; Pseudomonadota; Gammaproteobacteria; Oceanospirillales; Halomonadaceae.